CUCAGAGCGAACGCUGGCGGCACGCCUAACACAUGCAAGUCGAGCGAGAAAGUGACUUCGGUCGCGAGUAAAGCGGCGAACGGGUGAGUACAACGUGGAUAAUCUACCCUAAGGUCUGGGACAACCCCGAGAAAUCGGGGCUAAUACCGGAUAAGACCACAGUAUCCAAGGAUACAGCGGUAAAAGAUUUAUCGCCUUUGGACGAGUCCACGCCCCAUCAGGUAGUUGGUAAGGUAAAGGCUUACCAAGCCUAAGACGGGUAGCCGGCCUUAGCGGGUGAACGGCCACAUGGGGACUGAGACACGGCCCUGACUCCUACGGGAGGCAGCAGUGGGGAAUAUUGGGCAAUGGGCGAAAGCCUGACCCAGCGAUGCCGCGUGAGGGAUGAAGGCCUUCGGGUUGUAAACCUCUGUCAGGAGGGACGAUGGGACUUUGUCUUGAGGUACCUCCAGAGGAAGCCCCGGCUAACUCCGUGCCA
Molecule: ribosomal RNA, 478 nt
Filed under: uncultured bacterium
Lineage: Bacteria
Description: bacterial SSU rRNA
Rfam family: Bacterial small subunit ribosomal RNA
Source: RNAcentral